CUAUAAAGUUCCUCACCUUGCUCCAAUGUAAUUGGUUCUGAAGAGAUUUGGGCAAGCCUUACUGUGUGACUUGGAGCACUCUGGAUUAACUGGAGAAGAUGGUGUGCCAACCUCUGCUGUGCUGCUCUGAAAAUGGCCACUGUUUUCUGCCGGAGUCUACAGAGGUGAUCCAAAAGAUAAAAAGCUGCCCUCUGGAAAAACCAGAACUAUACUUUGAGAGCACACUCCAGAGAGGCUGAGUUGUGUCUCCUGGAAUGACAAACCCACACGAGCGGAGCGGUGUCACACGAUAGGAGUUGGAAGGAGCGGAAAUCUGCCGGAUCCUGCUGGCAGCGCCGAUGCCAACGGCGUUGGCUGGAGGUGUGAAUGCUCCUGCAGGAGCCCUUGUGCUGGGACUGUGCUCCUCAUGAACAGCUGCCCUCCUGGCCCUGCAGCACAGCCGGCCUGCUGGAAGAGCUGCCGCAGAAAGCUCGCAGAGAAAAGAGCACACAAGCGUUAUUUCAGCUGGAAACGACAGGAAGAUGUGCUUCCCGUCGUAACUAUAAAAAGUAUUUGAAUAUUUAUGUAGGAUUUAUGCUUAUCUCUAUGAGGGGGGGAUUUAUAUAGAUUAUUUACUGAACAUAAAGAGGAAAAUACCCCAAAUAUACCAUUAUGUUAGUUGUGCCUCCAGAAGCAUCCAUUAUGCAGUUCAUUUUCCAAUUAAUCUUUACUGUCAAACAAAUGUUAUUCUCCUUCUCCAUUCCAGUAGUAACUUCCAUCCUUUGAAACAGUUUUGCAAUGGGGCAAUUAAUGACAUUAUCUUAGAUGAUUUUGUUGCCAAUAUGUACUAUGUAUAACAGCCACUGGGAACCUUGCUACUUAAGAAUGACCAUUUACAAAAGGACAAAAUACAACAGUCUUCAAAAAGGUUGUUUUUGUGACAAACUAUAGCCAAGAUGCAUAUCUGAAAGAGGGAAAAUGGGAGAUAAAGAAAUGGCAAUGGUUUGUUAUUGCUGCUUUCUUCUCCUCCCCAG
This is a long non-coding RNA of Zonotrichia leucophrys gambelii, 1013 nucleotides long. RefSeq lists it as uncharacterized. Lineage: Eukaryota; Metazoa; Chordata; Aves; Passeriformes; Passerellidae. The transcript is spliced from 3 exons. The record is from RefSeq and is a predicted model, not a curated record.